This 87-nucleotide non-coding RNA is filed under the name unclassified sequences. The record is from Rfam.
UGCAGGCAAGCGCGGAGCUUGUAGAGGUCGUCGAAAGACGGCAGCCCGUUUUGGGUGGGAUCCUCGAAUCCGGGGCCCUGCACCGUC